This 2575-nucleotide long non-coding RNA is filed under the name Heterocephalus glaber (naked mole-rat). RNAcentral describes it as "lncRNA (ENSHGLG00100046390.1)". Lineage: Eukaryota; Metazoa; Chordata; Mammalia; Rodentia; Bathyergidae. The record is from RNAcentral.
AUCUGAGCUUGGUUUGUUCCCCCAGAGCUCACCCACUGGAAGCUUGGUCCCAGUGUGGAAGCAAGGUCAGGGUGGUGAUACCUUUAACAAAUGGGGCCGGGGGGUGGUUAUUAGGCCCUCAGGAGACCCACUCUCAGGAAUGGAUAAUGCUUUGCUCAGAGUGCUGACUGGGUCUUGCAGAAGUGAGUUUGUUUCCGGGAAGGGGGUUGUACAGAGAGUGAGCCUGGUCUCUCUGCCUCUCAUGUCCUGUCUUGCCAAGCAUAUGAGACAUUUACUGGAACGGAUCAGAUGUCAGAGGCAGGCACUUGAAUCUCCAGAAUGCCCGUUUCUCCCCAGGAUGGAAAUAAACAAACAGAGGGGAGCAGAUUGAGAGCAAAUCUAAUUAUGAGUGCCACGCUGAUCCCCAAGGAACCCACCUGCUCCUCAGAAGGAUGAACCACAUGGUUAUGUUAUCUUAUAAGACCAGUCCUCUUCCUUCCAUAAAGAAAUGGCACCCUCCAUGGCUCCAUUUUGUUCCCCCAAAUCUGGCAUCCAUUUGUAAUUUCCUAGAUGGAGCUCAUCGUACAGCAUAUCCAUCCAUUCAACAAACGCUUUACCGAAUGCUUCAGGCCCUGUUGCAGACAUUGGAAAUGCAAUAGUGCAAAAGCAACAGGAGGAUGUGCACUGUUGUUCUCAACCAACACUGCAACUGCAGAACUAUUCCGGUCUUCGAAUGAUUAUAUACAGGAAAACUGAAUUGGUGAUUUUGUUGGCAUAUGCACAGGCAGAAUGACCGCUAUGACUGGACAGCUUUCUGGUUUCACUACUCAAGUCAAAGACGUUGCUUUUGAAUGUAAAUCUACACACCAUGUCAUCCAUAGAGAAACGCUAGCUAGCCAAAAAAUGUCAUCUAAACUUAAUAGCAUUUGAAGAAGUGAUUAAAAUUCUCAACUGCAUGGAAGUCCAUGCCCUUACCUCAUGUCUGUUUACACAGCUCUGUGAGGAGAUGGGCACAGAGCACACACAUGUUCUCUUGUUCACCCAAGUGAGACGGCUUUCUAAAGGAAGAUCAAUGACUAGAGUUUUUGAGUUACAAGAGCCACUCUAGACAUUUGUUUUAGAAAAUCGUCACCCCUGGCAGCAUAUUUCAGUGACACAGAAUCAGUUGGAAAAAUUGCUUACUUAUGUGACAUAUUCAACCUGCUCAAGAACUUAAUCUGUCACUUCUGGGAGAACAACAACUGUGCUCGAGUCGGCAGAUAAAGUGGCUGCACUCAGAGCCAAACUGGGAUUAUGGGAGCAGUGAGUGAACAUCGGGAUGUUUGACAUGGUUCAAAUGUUAGCAAGAUUUUGAAAGAGACUGAGGCAGGACCUUCUUCCUUGCAUCUGUCUCAGCUUUCAAAAGAGUCUGAGCACCAUGACCCCAUGACCAAAGAGCCCCAAACCAGGAAGGCAUGGAUCCACGGCUCAUUUGUAAAUACACGGACUUUUCUGUGCUAGGAGAGGAUCAGCUGCUUGAGAACACAAGUGACAGUGGUCUUAAAAGUAUGUUUCAGGGGGCCGGGGAUUUAGCUCAGUGGUUCUGCCGCCUGCCUUGCAAGCGCAAGGUCCUGAGUUCCAUCCCCAGUACCAAAAAAAAAAAAAGUGUGCUUGAGACAAAUUGAAAUCUCCGUAUGUUCUUGAUUAAAGACAAAGUGGGAUAGUCUGAGAUUGCCACAAAAGCACUGAAAAUCCACCUUCCAUUUACAGCAUCUUUGUUAAGCAGGGUUAUUCACAGCAACAACAGCCAUGGAAUAGACUGAGCAUAAGUGACGUGAAACAGAUCUCACUGUCUUGCAUCAGCCCCAGAUGAGACUGCCAAGUUGCAAGAAAACAAGCUCAGAGUUCCUGUCUUAGUUACUUUUCUCGUUGCUGAGAUAAAACACUCGACAUCAGAAGUUAAAGGAAGAAAGCUUAUUUUGGCUCAUAGUUUUAGAGGUUUCAGUCCACAGUCAGCUGGCUCCAAGCCAGGGUGGCACAGCAGAGGGGCAUCACAGAGAAGAAAUAGUCCAUGGCAAAGAAGGCAGAAGGCAGCAGAAGCAGCCAAGCAGCUAGCAGCAAGCAACAAGCAAGGACUCUCUUCCUGUCUCUUAUGUCUUAUCCAAGCUACCCACCCUUAGAGCAGGCACCUCUCACACCCUUAAUCCUACCAUUGCAUCCUUGAUCCCAGAAUCACACACCCUAAGUUGAGCCACCUCCAAAAAGCCCCACUUAUGACUGCAUGAGGCCUUGGGGGGACAUCUAGAUACAAGCCAUAGCAGUUCCCAUUGAUUCCACAUAUGGUGACUUGCAUAAUUAUUUCAUUAUGUAUUACAAUGUAAUAAUAAUAAAAAUAAAGCUCACAAUAAAUAUAAUGUGCCUGAAUCAUCCCCAAACCACCCCCUACCUGACUCUCAUCCACAGAAAAAACUGUCUUCCACAAAACUAGUCUCCCUGGUGCAGAUUAAGUUCCUGCUUUAAUCUUGUCUAAGAACUCACCACAUUGGGUAGAGUCCACUUAAAUGAAAAAGUUCUUUUUCUGUCCUAUUUCAGUUACGUGUGUGUGUGUCUGUGUGUG